GUGUGUGCGUUUUGGACGACCAGGAGAGCAGGGACAAGAACUCCAAACCCUAGCUCACCCAAAAUUCACCAAAUUGAAGGUUAAUCUAGCCCAAAUCAAAUGCAUGAGUACAAAUUCGUGAUCACCUAGUCAUGGGAAUCAUAAGUUUGGCGCUUAACAAGCUAGGUGGAAGCUUGGGGAGAAAGCGGGUCAAACGAAACAAUUAUGAGAAGAAAAGCGUAAUUUGGAUGAGAAGUGAAUGUCGUUACCAUCCGGAUGCCGAUCAAGCAACGAAGUGAACCGAACACAUACUUAAUGAAGCUUCCGCGAUAUCUUUCUUUUGUUUAGUUUAAAAAUGAAAGUUGUAAACAUUUGAUACUAUAUUUUGAAUACUCUAAUUUUGUAUGAACGUUAACUUGUCAAAGUUUUUGACAGGUC
Molecule: long non-coding RNA, 417 nt
Organism: Helianthus annuus (common sunflower)
Lineage: Eukaryota; Viridiplantae; Streptophyta; Magnoliopsida; Asterales; Asteraceae
Exons: 3
Source: RefSeq, a predicted model, not a curated record